AUUGAACGCUGGCGGCAAGCCUAACACAUGCAAGUCGAACGAGUGGCGGACGGGUGAGUAAUGUCUGGGAAACUGCCUGAUGGAGGGGGAUAACUACUGGAAACGGUAGCUAAUACCGCAUACCAUCGGAUGUGCCCAGAUGGGAUUAGCUAGUAGGUGGGGUAAAGGCUCACCUAGGCGACGAUCCCUAGCUGGUCUGAGAGGAUGACCAGACACAAUGGAACUGAGACACGGUCCAGACGCCUACGGGAGGCAGAAGUGGGGAAUAUUGAACAAUGGGAGCAAGCCGGAUGCGGCCAUGCCGGGUGUAUGAAGAAGGCCUUGGGGUUGUAAAGUACUUUCAGCGGGGAGGCGUUGCCCGCAGAAGAAGCACCGGAUACAUCCGUGCCAGCAGCCGCGUAAUUC
This 405-nucleotide ribosomal RNA is filed under the name uncultured bacterium. Its description in RNAcentral is "partial 16S ribosomal RNA". It matches the Rfam family "Bacterial small subunit ribosomal RNA", at positions 29 to 526 of the family's 1533-position model. The record is from RNAcentral.